UCUCCGUUGGUGAACCAGCGGAGGGAUCAUUACUGGAAUCGCAAGACUCCCAACCCCUGUGAACGUACCGAAACGUUGCCUCGGCGGGCCUCUGGGAUUCGUCCCAUGUCCGCCGGCGGCCCCUAUAAACUCUGUUACUUAUAAGCAAUCUGAGCGUUUUCCAAAAAUAAAGUUAAAACUUUCAACAACGGAUCUCUUGGUUCUGGCAUCGAUGAAGAACGCAGC
Molecule: unclassified non-coding RNA, 225 nt
Filed under: uncultured fungus
Lineage: Eukaryota; Fungi
Description: sequence contains ITS1, 5.8S rRNA gene
Rfam family: 5.8S ribosomal RNA (bases 177-225)
Source: RNAcentral